Molecule: long non-coding RNA, 498 nt
Organism: Gorilla gorilla gorilla (western lowland gorilla)
Lineage: Eukaryota; Metazoa; Chordata; Mammalia; Primates; Hominidae
Exons: 4
Source: RefSeq, a predicted model, not a curated record
UCUUUGGAGAAUUUGGGGAGCAGCUUCCUAAUAGUCUUAGAGAAAUCAGGAACCCCAUUGGCAUUUGAAAAGCAAAAAUUCUCAUUUUUAAGUUUAAAGCCUUUAAGAGACAGUGGAAUAACAGAUUUCAAAACAAUGAGUUCUCCACAACCCUUGGACCAUGACCCCUGGACGGCAGCAGAAAGAGAAUGAUACAAAUUGUGGGAAUGGAGAACCUAAGAGCAGCUUGCUCUAGCCCAGCAGAGAACAUGUCAAGGGUGACUCAUCUGCUUUCUCGUAAAGUCUUCAACUGACCGGGUGAAAAUCACCCACAUUAUAGAAGCUGCAGGAACAAACUAAGACACUGGGUAAGGAAGAAAAGCAAACAAACAAACAAACAAACAAAAAGCAGUGGCACAAUGGAGAGUAAGUGGGGGAGUUGGAGGAAAAGAAGCCACAGAACAAACACCACCUAAAGGAGUUAAACCUCCAACUUCUCCAAGAUUUGGUGAGAGAAGA